This 472-nucleotide ribosomal RNA is filed under the name uncultured bacterium. RNAcentral describes it as "bacterial SSU rRNA". It matches the Rfam family "Bacterial small subunit ribosomal RNA", at positions 355 to 825 of the family's 1533-position model. The record is from RNAcentral.
UGGGGAAUAUUGGACAAUGGGCGAAAGCCUGAUCCAGCCAUGCCGCGUGUGUGAAGAAGGUCUUCGGAUUGUAAAGCACUUUAAGUUGGGAGGAAGGGUAGUUACCUAAUACGUAUCUGUUUUGACGUUACCGACAGAAUAAGCACCGGCUAACUCUGUGCCAGCAGCCGCGGUAAUACAGAGGGUGCAAGCGUUAAUCGGAAUUACUGGGCGUAAAGCGCGCGUAGGUGGUUAGUUAAGUUGGAUGUGAAAUCCCCGGGCUCAACCUGGGAACUGCAUUCAAAACUGACUGACUAGAGUAUGGUAGAGGGUGGUGGAAUUUCCUGUGUAGCGGUGAAAUGCGUAGAUAUAGGAAGGAACACCAGUGGCGAAGGCGACCACCUGGACUGAUACUGACACUGAGGUGCGAAAGCGUGGGGAGCAAACAGGAUUAGAUACCCGUGUAGUCCCUGAGCGGGCUGGCAAGGCGCAU